This 215-nucleotide ribosomal RNA is filed under the name Morganella morganii. RNAcentral's name for it is "partial 23S ribosomal RNA". It matches the Rfam family "Bacterial large subunit ribosomal RNA", at positions 315 to 532 of the family's 2925-position model. Lineage: Bacteria; Pseudomonadati; Pseudomonadota; Gammaproteobacteria; Enterobacterales; Morganellaceae. The record is from RNAcentral.
AAUCAGCAUCAGUGUUAAGAGAACAGUCUGGAAAGGCUGGCCACAGCAGGUGAUAGCCCUGUAUCUGAAAGCACUGGUGUUGUGAGUCCGAUGAGUAAGGCGGGACACGUGUUAUCCUGUCUGAAUACGGGGGGACCAUCCUCCAAGGCUAAAUACUCCUGACUGACCGAUAGUGAACCAGUACCGUGAGGGAAAGGCGAAAAGAACCCCGGCGA